This 254-nucleotide ribosomal RNA is filed under the name uncultured bacterium. RNAcentral describes it as "partial 16S ribosomal RNA". It matches the Rfam family "Bacterial small subunit ribosomal RNA", at positions 524 to 776 of the family's 1533-position model. The record is from RNAcentral.
UACGUAGGGUGCGAGCGUUGUCCGGAAUUAUUGGGCGUAAAGAGCUCGUAGGCGGUCUGUCGCGUCGAUCGUGAAAACUUGGGGCUUAACCCUGAGCUUGCGGUCGAUACGGGCAUGACUGGAGUUCGGCAGGGGAGACUGGAAUUCCUGGUGUAGCGGUGAAAUGCGCAGAUAUCAGGAGGAAUACCGAUGGCGAAGGCAGGUCUCUGGGCUAUAACUGACGCUCAUGCACGAAAGCGUGGGGAGCAAACAGG